This 300-nucleotide ribosomal RNA is filed under the name uncultured bacterium. RNAcentral's name for it is "bacterial SSU rRNA". It matches the Rfam family "Bacterial small subunit ribosomal RNA", at positions 497 to 795 of the family's 1533-position model. The record is from RNAcentral.
UCAAGGCGGUGCCGGGGGCCGGGGUAAUAGUUAGGGGUCUUCGGUUGUCCGGCUUUCAUGGGCGUAAAUGGCUCGUAGGCGGUUCGGUAAGUCAGGUGUGAAAUCUCCACGCUCAACGUGGAGGAGCCACCUUAUACUGCCGUGACUUGAGUCCGGUAGGGGAGUGUGGAAUUCCCGGUGUAGCGGUGAAAUGCGCAGAUAUCGGGAGGAACACCAGUAGCGAAGGCGGCACUCUGGGCCGGUACUGACGCUGAGGAGCGAAAGCGUGGGGAGCAAACAGGAUUAGAUACCCCUGUAGUC